RNAcentral lists this unclassified non-coding RNA (347 nucleotides) under soil metagenome. Its description in RNAcentral is "partial contains 5.8S ribosomal RNA, internal transcribed spacer 2, and large subunit ribosomal RNA". The stretch from base 1 to 119 matches the Rfam family "5.8S ribosomal RNA", at positions 35 to 154 of the family's 154-position model. The record is from RNAcentral.
GAUGAAGAACGUAGCGAAAUGCGAUACGUAAUGUGAAUUGCAAAUUCAGUGAAUCAUCGAAUCUUUGAACGCACAUUGCGCCCGCCAGUAUUCUGGCGGGCAUGCCUGUCUGAGCGUCAUUUCAACCCUCAUGCCCCUAGGGCGUGGUGUUGGGGAUCGGCCAAAGCCCGCGAGGGACGGCCGGCCCCUAAAUCUAGUGGCGGACCCGUCGUGGCCUCCUCUGCGAAGUAGUGAUAUUCCGCAUCGGAGAGCGAUGAGCCCCUGCCGUUAAACCCCCAACUUUCCAAGGUUGACCUCAGAUCAGGUAGGAAUACCCGCUGAACUUAAGCAUAUCAAUAAGCGGAGGA